RNAcentral lists this ribosomal RNA (232 nucleotides) under uncultured bacterium. RNAcentral's name for it is "partial 16S ribosomal RNA". It matches the Rfam family "Bacterial small subunit ribosomal RNA", at positions 99 to 334 of the family's 1533-position model. The record is from RNAcentral.
CGGACGGGGGAGUAAUGUCUGGGAAACUGCCCGAUGGAGGGGGGUAACUACUGGAAACGGUAGCUAAUACCGCAUAACGUCGCAAGACCAAAGAGGGGGACCUUAGGGCCUCUUGCCAUCGGAUGUGCCCAGAUGGGAUUAGCUAGUAGGUGGGGUAAUGGCUCACCUAGGCGACGAUCCCUAGCUGGUCUGAGAGGAUGACCAGCCACACUGGAACUGAGACACGGUCCAG